This is a long non-coding RNA of Rhinopithecus roxellana (golden snub-nosed monkey), 310 nucleotides long. RefSeq lists it as uncharacterized. The record is from RefSeq and is a predicted model, not a curated record. The transcript has 3 exons. Lineage: Eukaryota; Metazoa; Chordata; Mammalia; Primates; Cercopithecidae.
CACAGGUCUAAAAGAGAGUUUCAUUGAAACUCUGACUUAAGAAAGGAAUUCUUACGUAUUGAAGGUUUAACGAGGAUUCUUUGUGAUAAUGACUAAAGGAGCAGAGGGAGAAUGCUCCAGUCACGCAGUGCCCACUAAUCACUGGGAUAAGGACUAUGCUGGGCAAGAACGCAGGCAUAAAUAGCGGGAAACGAAGACCCAGUGGAGCUACGACAUUCACACAGGCCUCAGAGCAUGUUAAUACUGUGACGUCACACUGUCCAUCCUUCAAGAGCAGGACAUUGCAGUCUCUUCUGCUUACUUAUCAAAG